RNAcentral lists this ribosomal RNA (119 nucleotides) under Pteropus alecto (black flying fox). Lineage: Eukaryota; Metazoa; Chordata; Mammalia; Chiroptera; Pteropodidae. The record is from RNAcentral.
AUCUAUGGCCAUGCCACCCUGAACAUGCCUAAUCUCAUCCAAUCUCGGAAGCUAAGCAAUGUUGGACCUGGUUAGUACUUGGAUGGGAGACCACCUAGGAAGACCAGGUGCUGUUAGCG